Non-coding RNA from Picea glauca (white spruce), 123 nucleotides. Lineage: Eukaryota; Viridiplantae; Streptophyta; Pinopsida; Pinales; Pinaceae. The record is from Rfam.
AUGUAAAUUAAUACAACAUAGCAUUAAUGAACCUGAUCCCAUUAGAACUCCCCAAUUAAGAACACUCAUGCAAGAGUAGUACUAGGAUGGGUGACCACCCGAGAAGUCCUAGUGUUUUACAUG